CCUACGGGGUGCAGCAGUGGGGGAUAUUGCACAAUGGGGGAAACCCUGAUGCAGCGAUGCCGCGUGAAUGAAGACGGCCUUCGGGUUGUAAAGUUCUGUCGCAGGGGACGAAAAUGACGGUACCCUGCAAGAAAGCUCCGGCUAACUACGUGCCAGCAGCCGCGGUAAUACGUAGGGAGCAAGCGUUGUCCGGAAUUACUGGGUGUAAAGGGAGCGGAGGCGGGAGGAUAAGUUGAAUGUGAAAUCUAUGGGCUCAACCCAUAGCUGCGUUCAAAACUGUUCUUCUUGAGUGAAGUAGAGGCAGGCGGAAUUCCUGGUGUAGCGGUGAAAUGGGUAGAUAUUAGGAGGAAAACCAGUGGCGAGGCGGCUUACUGGACUGUAACUGACGUUGAGGCUCGAAAGCGUGGGGAGCAAACAGGAUUAGAUACCCGAGUAGUC
RNAcentral lists this ribosomal RNA (438 nucleotides) under uncultured bacterium. Its description in RNAcentral is "partial 16S ribosomal RNA". It matches the Rfam family "Bacterial small subunit ribosomal RNA", at positions 338 to 795 of the family's 1533-position model. The record is from RNAcentral.